CCUCCAUUCCUUCAUAGAGCAACCACAAGACCUUUGCUAGGGUUUUGAAGUUCAGUCAGAUCUGAGUUAGAUUGGCCUCGUUUUACCACGGUUCCACAGAUCUUAAAUUUGCUCUGGGUGUGCUCGUACUCUUUCGCUUCAAUGUCGGAAUUGUUUGGCUAACCCUUUCCAGAUGUGACUUCAGGUGAGAAUGCUGAAGCAUAGCGACGGAGCGGGGGCCUAUGAUGGGAGAUUUUUCCUAUAUUUUCAUUUCAUGCAUUUUGUAAUAGAUUUUAUGACGUUUUUCUCUAUUAUGAACUUGUAAUAAAGAUGAAGUACUAUGAUUGGAUUAUC
This is a long non-coding RNA of Vigna unguiculata (cowpea), 333 nucleotides long. Lineage: Eukaryota; Viridiplantae; Streptophyta; Magnoliopsida; Fabales; Fabaceae. The record is from RefSeq and is a predicted model, not a curated record.